RNAcentral lists this long non-coding RNA (493 nucleotides) under Glycine max (soybean). RNAcentral describes it as "long non-coding RNA (GMAX_LNC002367)". Lineage: Eukaryota; Viridiplantae; Streptophyta; Magnoliopsida; Fabales; Fabaceae. The record is from RNAcentral.
UUGUUAGUUGCUUGGUUGAUCACAAGACAUUGAACCAUAUUCCUAUAAAUGACAGGGGAUAUAAUUAAGAUCAUGAGUUCAACCAAGGUAAUAAAGCUUAUUGGUUAGGGAAGUCAGCGUGAGAAAGCAAUUGGGUGAAGUUUGGAAGUUGGUGUGGCUUGCGAUGAAGGCAAAUUAUGAGAGGUAUAUGAUGACUUUGAUAAUGUGAAUAAAUAUGUAGUAGGAGAAUUGUAAAUGAAAAAGAUGAUAAUGUGGAAUAUUUUGUUCCUUUACCCAGUGAUGUUCACUUUGGUGGACAAAGUGUGGAGGUUGGAGAAAGAACUGAAUGCGGUGCUGGUAAAGGAAAUGUGGAUACUGGACAACAAGUUGAAUGUGGUGUGUGAUGGGGAAGGCGUGGAUGUUGGACAAGGAAAUAGGAAAUAGAAAUCAAAUGGGUAUUUGUUCACAACAAAAAACGCCUUUCAGGACUAAAAUCUCGACGAGGAGAUUGGGG